RNAcentral lists this ribosomal RNA (651 nucleotides) under uncultured bacterium. RNAcentral describes it as "bacterial SSU rRNA". It matches the Rfam family "Bacterial small subunit ribosomal RNA", at positions 8 to 654 of the family's 1533-position model. The record is from RNAcentral.
AGAGUUUGAUCCUGGCUCAGAUUGAACGCUGGCGGCAUGCCUUACACAUGCAAGUCGAACGGAUUGAGGGGCUUGCUCCUCAGUUAGUGGCGAACGGGUGAGUAAUGCAUCGGAACGUACCUUUUUGUGGGGGAUAACUACUCGAAAGAGUAGCUAAUACCGCAUACGCCCUGAGGGGGAAAGCGGGGGACUCGCAAGAGCCUCGCGCAAAAAGAGCGGCCGAUGUCAGAUUAGCUAGUUGGUAGGGUAAAAGCCUACCAAGGCGACGAUCUGUAGCUGGUCUGAGAGGACGACCAGCCACACUGGGACUGAGACACGGCCCAGACUCCUACGGGAGGCAGCAGUGGGGAAUUUUGGACAAUGGGCGAAAGCCUGAUCCAGCCAUGCCGCGUGAGUGAAGAAGGCCUUCGGGUUGUAAAGCUCUUUCGGACAGAAAGAAAUCGCAUGAACUAAUACUUUGUGCGGAUGACGGUACUGUAAGAAGAAGCACCGGCUAACUACGUGCCAGCAGCCGCGGUAAUACGUAGGGUGCGAGCGUUAAUCGGAAUUACUGGGCGUAAAGGGUGCGCAGGCGGUUAUAUAAGACAGAUGUGAAAUCCCCGGGCUCAACCUGUGAACUGCGUUUGUGACUGUAUGACUAGAGUACGGUAG